CGCGUGGGUAACCUGCCCUUUUGUGGGGAACAACUUCGAGAAAUCGGAGCUAAUACCGCAUAAUAAUAGAGGAUCGCAUGAUUCUUUAAGGAAAGAUGGCCUCUGAAGAUGCUAUCGCAAAAGGAUGGACCCGCGUCUGAUUAGCUAGUUGGAAGGGUAACGGCCUACCAAGGCAAUGAUCAGUAGCCGGCCUGAGAGGGUGAACGGCCACAUUGGGACUGAGACACGGCCCAAACUCCUACGGAAGGCAGCAG
RNAcentral lists this ribosomal RNA (254 nucleotides) under uncultured bacterium. RNAcentral's name for it is "partial 16S ribosomal RNA". It matches the Rfam family "Bacterial small subunit ribosomal RNA", at positions 114 to 354 of the family's 1533-position model. The record is from RNAcentral.